GAUGAAGAACGCAGCGAAAUGCGAUAAGUAGUGUGAAUUGCAGAAUUCAGUGAAUCAUCGAGUCUUUGAACGCACAUUGCGCCCCCUGGUAUUCCGGGGGGCAUGCCUGUCCGAGCGUCAUUGCUGCCCUCAAGCACGGCUUGUGUGUUGGGCCUCCGUCCUCCUCCCGGGGGACGGGCCCGAAAGGCAGCGGCGGCACCGCGUCCGGUCCUCGAGCGUAUGGGGCUUCGUCACCCGCUCUUGUAGGCCCGGCCGGCGCUUGCCGACACAUCAAUCUUUUUUCCAGGUUGACCUCGGAUCAGGUAGGGAUACCCGCUGAACUUAAGCAUAUCAAUAAGCGAGGA
RNAcentral lists this unclassified non-coding RNA (344 nucleotides) under soil metagenome. RNAcentral describes it as "partial contains 5.8S ribosomal RNA, internal transcribed spacer 2, and large subunit ribosomal RNA". The stretch from base 1 to 120 matches the Rfam family "5.8S ribosomal RNA", at positions 35 to 154 of the family's 154-position model. The record is from RNAcentral.